AUUGAACGCUGGCGGCAUGCCUUACACAUGCAAGUCGAACGGUAACAGGUUAAGCUGACGCGUGGCGAACGGGUGAGUAAUACAUCGGAACGUGCCCAGUAGUGGGGGAUAGCCCGGCGAAAGCCGGAUUAAUACCGCAUACGACCUAAGGGUGAAAGGGGGGGAUCGCAAGACCUCUCGCUAUUGGAGCGGCCGAUGUCAGAUUAGCUAGUUGGUGGGGUAAAAGCUCACCAAGGCGACGAUCUGUAGCUGGUCUGAGAGGACGACCAGCCACACUGGGACUGAGACACGGCCCAGACUCCUACGGGGGGCAGCAGUGGGGAAUUUUGGACAAUGGGCGCAGGCCUGAUCCAGCCAUGCCGCGUGCGGGAAGAAGGCCUUCGGGUUGUAAACCGCUUUUGUCAGGGAAGAAAUCCUUUGGGUUAAUACCUCGGGGGGAUGACGGUACCUGAAGAAUAAGCACCGGCUAACUACGUG
This 477-nucleotide ribosomal RNA is filed under the name uncultured bacterium. RNAcentral describes it as "partial 16S ribosomal RNA". It matches the Rfam family "Bacterial small subunit ribosomal RNA", at positions 30 to 507 of the family's 1533-position model. The record is from RNAcentral.